Molecule: long non-coding RNA, 722 nt
Filed under: Sinocyclocheilus grahami
Lineage: Eukaryota; Metazoa; Chordata; Actinopteri; Cypriniformes; Cyprinidae
Description: lncRNA (ENSSGRG00000043738.1)
Source: RNAcentral
AUGAAGCUGUUUGGACUGCAUUUCUCUGCUGUGUGGAUGUUGUGCUGCUGCUGCUGCUGUCUUGUGUAUGGCAGAGGUCAUGGUUUGUGUAUUAAAGAAAAGCUCAUUACAAAAAUCUAUUUAACCACAGAACUGCAAUCUAAAGUCCUGCUGCCGUGCCUUUUUGAACCAGCUCUCUUUGGAUCAGACCUGACCAUGAGUUCGAGUGCUCUGUGGACUCAGAUUAAUAAUGAAACAGUUGACUACAUUUUAGAGAUCAUAGUAAAUGGUCAGAUAAGCUUCUGGAAUAACAGACACAAUAGAAUUAAUGGAUUCGGUGAUGCUGCUGCCUCUGAAAACUUCUCCAUCCUGAUUAGAGAUGUGCGGCUCUCUGAUCUGGGUCUCUACCGCUGUCAACUGUACAGAGACUUCAACUGUUCUCUGGGCUAUAAAGAGAUAGAAAUCAGUCUGGCUGCUGUCGAGUUUUCACUGCUCCGUAACUGGCAGCUCAUAGCUGCAGGAGGAGGAGGAGGAGGAUUUCUGCUGCUCUGUCUGGUCUCUGUGUGUGUUUACUAUACAUGGACAAAACGACAAACAGUCAAUGAAUCAGUCAACCACAGAUCACACAACUGCCAUGAUGUGGAUGGAGACAAAAAUACUGAAAUAACCUAUGCAUCAGUUGUUUUUAAGCCACACAACUGCCAUGACAAUGAAGGUAAUUUUAUUAUGUCAGUUAUGUUGUA